GGCCUUUCGGGGUACACGAGCGGCGAACGGGUGAGUAACACGAUGGGUGAUCUGCCCUGCACUUCGGGAUAAGCCUGGGAAACUGGGUCUAAUACCGGAUAUGACCUCAGGUUGCAUGACUUGGGGUGGAAAGAUUUAUCGGUGCAGGAUGGGCCCGCGGCCUAUCAGCUUGUUGGUGGGGUAAUGGCCUACCAAGGCGACGACGGGUAGCCGACCUGAGAGGGUGACCGGCCACACUGGGACUGAGACACGGCCCAGACUCCUACGGGAGGCAGCAGUGGGGAAUAUUGCACAAUGGGCGAAAGCCUGAUGCAGCGACGCCGCGUGAGGGAUGACGGCCUUCGGGUUGUAAACCUCUUUCAGCAGGGACGAAGCGCAAGUGACGGUACCUGCAGAAGAAGCACCGGCUAACUACGUGCCAGCAGCCGCGGUAAUACGUAGGGUGCAAGCGUUGUCCGGAAUUACUGGGCGUAAAGAGUUCGUAGGCGGUUUGUCGCGUCGUUUGUGAAAACCAGCAGCUCAACUGCUGGCUUGCAGGCGAUACGGGCAGACUUGAGUACUGCAGGGGAGACUGGAAUUCCUGGUGUAGCGGUGAAAUGCGCAGAUAUCAGGAGGAACACCGGUGGCGAAGGCGGGUCUCUGGGCAGUAACUGACGCUGAAGAACGAAAGCGUGGGUAGCGAACAGGAUUAGAUACCCUGGUAGUCCACGCCGUAAACGGUGGGCGCUAGGUGUGGGUUCCUUCCACGG
This 749-nucleotide ribosomal RNA is filed under the name uncultured bacterium. Its description in RNAcentral is "bacterial SSU rRNA". It matches the Rfam family "Bacterial small subunit ribosomal RNA", at positions 74 to 837 of the family's 1533-position model. The record is from RNAcentral.